UAGCUAGUUGGUGAGGUAAAGGCUCACCAAGGCGACGAUCUGUAGCGGGUCUGAGAGGAUGAUCCGCCACACUGGAACUGAGACACGGUCCAGACUCCUACGGGAGGCAGCAGUGGGGAAUUUUGAACAAUGGGGGCAACCCUGAUCCAGCCAUGCCGCGUGAGUGAAGAAGGCCUUCGGGUUGUAAAGCUCUUUCGGCCGGGAAGAAUCGCAUGGGCCAAUACCCUGUGCGGAUGACGGUACCGGCAUAAGAAGCACCGGCUAACUACGUGCCAGCAGCCGCGGUAAUACGUAGGGUGCGAGCGUUAAUCGGAGUUACUGGGCGUAAAGCGUGCGCAGGCGGUUUUGUAAGACAGGCGUGAAAUCCCCGGGCUCAACCUGGGAACUGCGUUUGUGACUGCAAGGCUAGAGUACGGCAGAGGGGGGUGGAAUUCCACGUGUAGCAGUGAAAUGCGUAGAGAUGUGGAGGAACACCAAUGGCGAAGGCAGCCCCCUGGGUCGAUACUGACGCUCAUGCACGAAAGCGUGGGUAGCAAACAGGAUUAGAUACCCUGGUAGUCCACGCCCUAAACGAUGUCAACUAGGUGUUGGGUGGGUAAAAUCAUUUAGUACCGGAGCUAACGCGUGAAGUUGACCGCCUGGGGAGUACGGCCGCAAGGUUAAAACUCAAAGGAAUUGACGGGGACCCGCACAAGCGGUGGAUGAUGUGGAUUAAUUCGAUGCAACGCGAAAAACCUUACCUACCCUUGACAUGUCCAGAAGCCUGAAGAGAUUUGGGUGUGCCCGAAAGGGAACUGGAACACAGGUGCUGCAUGGCUGUCGUCAGCUCGUGUCGUGAGAUGUUGGGUUAAGUCCCGCAACGAGCGCAACCCUUGUCGUUAAUUGCCAUCAUUCAGUUGGGCACUUUAACGAGACUGCCGGUGACAAACCGGAGGAAGGUGGGGAUGACGUCAAGUCCUCAUGGCCCUUAUGGGUAGGGCUUCACACGUCAUACAAUGGUCGGUACAAAGGGUUGCCAAGCCGCGAGGUGGAGCCAAUCCCAGAAAGCCGAUCGUAGUCCGGAUCGUAGGCUGCAACUCGCCUGCGCGAAGUCGGAAUCGCUAGUAAUCGUGGAUCAGCAUGUCACGGUGAAUACGUUCCCGGGUCUUGUACACACCGCCCGUCACACCAUGGGAGCGGGUUCCGCCAGAAGUAGGUAGCCUAACCGCAAGGGGGGCGCUUACCACGGCGGGGUUCGUGACUGGGGUGAAGUCGUAACAAGGUAGCCGUAGGGGAACCUGCGGCUG
This 1286-nucleotide ribosomal RNA is filed under the name metagenome. RNAcentral's name for it is "bacterial SSU rRNA". It matches the Rfam family "Bacterial small subunit ribosomal RNA", at positions 242 to 1520 of the family's 1533-position model. The record is from RNAcentral.